Molecule: ribosomal RNA, 497 nt
Filed under: uncultured bacterium
Lineage: Bacteria
Description: partial 16S ribosomal RNA
Rfam family: Bacterial small subunit ribosomal RNA
Source: RNAcentral
GAUGAACGCUGGCGGCGUGCCUAAUACAUGCAAGUCGAGCGAACAGACGAGGAGUUUGCUCCUCUGACGUUAGCGGCGGACGGGUGAGUAACACGUGGAUAACCUACCUAUAAGACUGGGAUAACUUCGGGAAACCGGAGCUAAUACCGGAUAAUAUAUUGAACCGCAUGGUUCAAUAGUGAAAGACGGUUUUGCUGUCACUUAUAGAUGGAUCCGCGCCGCAUUAGCUAGUUGGUAAGGUAACGGCUUACCAAGGCAACGAUGCGUAGCCGACCUGAGAGGGUGGUCGGCCACACUGGCACUGAGACACGGUCCAGACUCCUGCGGGAGGCAGCAGUAGGGAAUCUUCCGGAAGGGGCGAAAGCCUGACGGAGCAACGCCGCGUGAGUGAUGAAGGUCUUCGGAUCGUAAAACUCUGUUAUUAGUGAAGAACAAAUCUGUAAGUAACUAUGCACGUCUUGACGGUACCUAAUCAGAAAGCCACGGCUAACUACGUG